This is a long non-coding RNA of Anser cygnoides (Swan goose), 2678 nucleotides long. NCBI's taxonomy places the organism in Eukaryota, Metazoa, Chordata, Aves, Anseriformes, Anatidae. The record is from Ensembl.
GCUCUGUGACAUUGCUCCGCCGGUCCUCGGCCACGCAGAGCUCAAGAGGCCUCAUGGGGUUCAGAGCGAAAAGGGGCAGGGGUGCGCGGGCAGAAGGGCAGCCGUGUGCUGCACACAUGCACACACGUGUGCACACACAUGCAUGCACACACAGACACAUGCACAUGCCCACGCAUGCCUGCAUACAUGCGUGCACACCUGCAUGCACACCUACAUACCGGGUCACACUCUCACACCUAUGUGUGCACGUCACAGACCUCCACGUAUGUACACACAAGCGUGUACACACACAAACGCAGGCACACAUCCAUUUGCACAAGCAUGCACAGAAACAUGCAUGAAACGUAGCUAUAUGUACACACGCACAAACACACACAUGUAUGCACAAACAUGCACGUGGCCCGUGUAUACCAAACACUCGUGUGGCUGCUGAGUACGUGUGCACACUGCCAGGCAGGCGUGAGUGUGCAGAGGAUGCGUGUGCACUGCUGAGCACAUGUGUGCGCACUGAGCUCAUGUCUGUACUGCCAGGCAUAUGUGUGUGUGUGCACACAGAGCACGUGUGUGCACCGCUGAGCACGUGUGCACGCUGAGCACGUGUGCAUUUGCUGCAUUGCUGGGCAUGUGUGUGGAUGCCUAGCACGUGUGUGCACAAACACGCACGCUGAGCGCGUGUGCACGUGGAGCACAUGUGUGCACACUGAGCACGUCUGUGCAUUGCCGGGCACACGUGUGUAUGCUGACCGUCUGUGCACAAACAUGCGUGCUGAGCACGUGUGCACCACCAAGCAAAUGUAUGCACACCAAGCAGGUGUGUGCACGCCCAGCGCACGUCGACACGCUUAGCACAUAUAUGCACACGUGUGUGAGGCUGAGCCCACCGCGGCCAACAUCCCAGCCUCGCUCGCAGCACCCCCAGCCUGGCGGUGUGCACACCCCCGCGCAUGCAGCCCUCGAAGCACGGCGUGCCCGGCGCCAAGCACGGCGUGCGUGUGCACGCGCGUGUGCAUGCGCGUGUGCAGCGUGGGCCGGCCCCCAGCCUCCAGAGCCGCCGGCAGUGCCCGUCGUGGGACAGCCACCGAGCCGAGCGCUGCGGCCACCAUGGUCCCGCGGGGCCCCGCGUGGUGCCUGCUGCUGGGGCUCUGCGCCCUGCUCCCCCGCGCCAGCACCCAGGGGACCCCAGAAGAGGAUGCGGUGCCGGGGGUCCCCGAGCGCUGCGGCGUCACCUUCCACACCCCCAGCCCCUGCGGGCCCCCCCGGCCGCCCCCCUCGGCCUCCCGAGAGGAGCUGGAGCAUCUCCGGAGCCUCCUGCAGCAGACCAGGGCCAGCCUGCAGGACGUGGAGGCGGCGGCGGCGCUGGAGGAGCACCGGCCCCGCUACCAGGACGUGAUCGCCGAGGCGCUGCCCGCCAUCCGCGGGGCCAACCGGGAGUUCCAGGAGAGCCUGGACAACGUCCGCAGGGAGCUGGAGGCGCACGUGGCCGAGACCGAGCACCCGCAGGCGGUGGAGAAGAGGGAGAAGCUGCGGAAGGACGUCCGCGUGGUGGCCCAUGUCCUGCGGCUCACCGCCCGCCUGGCCCGCGCCCUCGACGCCUCCUCGCGCCGCCUCCAGGACGAGCUCAACCAGCGCCUGCAGCGCUCGGCCGCCCGCGCUGCCGCCGGCGCCCAGCCCUAGGACGCGGGGCCGGGCUCUGCCCCUGCCCUCUGCAAGGCCUUGCUUGCUGGUAGGACCCUCUUUUGCCCCCCCAGCCAGCUCGCUCCCACCGCUUUCGGGGCGCACGGCUCCUCUGCGCGGCCCCAGGUUUGCGGAAUAAGCCGGGUGCCAGGCUGGCACCGGGAGGGACGGGAGGCUGCAGCCUGCUGUGCGCUGCCCAUAGCCCCAGCCCCAAGUCUUUAAUGCAUUUAUCCCGCAGGAGCUGCGCCCUGCUGUAGCACAGCCCCGUGUGCACGGGGAGAUCCCCCUCUGCUGCAGGCUCCUGCACCCUUGGGCCCUCCCCGAGCGUGCUUUGUCCAUGCAGCAUUUGCAGCUUGCCAGACUCGUGCGCCAGCAUCUGAGCACGUUCCCGGGGCUUCCCAGCACCCCUAAAGUGCCUUAAAAAUGAAUCCCAGCUCCUCUGGGGCUCAGCUGCAUCCCGCUGGUGACCUCCCCGCAUCGCAGCCCUCCUGGAUGCGUCCCUGCAUGGGCAGAGCCACCGCCAGCCCCCGUUAAUCUGUCACACAGCCCCAGCCUGGUCCAGGCUCACAAGCUAAAAGACCCCGUCACAACCCGGCUGCUGGGAGCAGGAGGCUGGGGAGCAGCAGGGAUGGGGACAGGGCUGGGGACAGGGCUGGGGACAGGGCUGGGGACAGGGUGGCUGCGCAUGCGCACGCCGGGAAGCGCCGGGCAGAGCCACGAACCACCCAGCAGUAAAUCGAAGCUGGCAACCGGAGUGCACCAAGCCCAUGGGGGUUUGGGCACCAGGAAAAGUGCUGGAGGCAGAACACCCUGGCGAAUUCGGGAGCCGGGGGGGGUCUCCGGGCACGGUGUGUCCUGGCCACCCUGCCAUGCCGGCCGUGGGGUCCCUGCUGUCCCCGUACGGCCCCGGGGCUGGGCACGAGGCAGGGAUCCCCGGGGGCAGCGGCAGCGGCACGACUUCAGGCGCUGCAGGCAGUGGAAUAAAGAGGCAUUGCGCUCUGCCA